Molecule: long non-coding RNA, 882 nt
Organism: Phragmites australis (common reed)
Lineage: Eukaryota; Viridiplantae; Streptophyta; Magnoliopsida; Poales; Poaceae
Exons: 3
Source: RefSeq, a predicted model, not a curated record
ACGUCUCUACUGCGCUCGCAUUUUCUCUCUCUCUCACGUUUCUCUCUCUCGCUCGGCUCUCUCUCACUCGCUGCUGCGCGCUGCUGUUCCCGCGCCGGCCGUCGCCGCCAGAGCGCCGCGCCGCCGCGCCACCGUCUGCCGCGCGCCGUCGUCGCGCCGAGCCAGCGCGCGUCGCCGCCGUGCGUCGCCGCCGCUGCGCCGCGCACCGCCCGCCGUGCGUCGCCUCUGCGCCAAGCCACCGCUGUCGCCGGCUGCUGCGCGCCGCCGGCCGUCGCCGCCUGCUGCUGCCCUCUCUCUCUCUGUGUGGCUUGAUCAAAGAAGAAGCAAGCAAGCAGAGCCAGCCGAAGAGAACCAGGAAGAAGAAGCCAGGAAGGAAGAAGGAGAAAAGAAAAGAAAAGAAAAGAGAAAAAAAAAGAAAAAAAGGGGAAGAAAAAAAAAGGAAAAAGAAGAAAAAAAAGGAAAAGUUGGAAAUUUCGGGAUUUCGUCGGAUUCGUCGUCAAUCUUUCGAAGGCGAUUUCUCGGUGGUACUAUUUUCGGACGUUCUUGAUUGAAUUUUCUUCAUCGUCGGUAAAGGCAAGUGAAUGUAUUGUAUGUUUAGAUGUUGUCGUGCAUUUUGGGGAUGGAUCUUGGUAGCUGCACACACUACCUUAUCACGAUGUCGAUAGCUCAACCGGUGUAUACAAGUGGUGUGUCUGAUGGUCCGUCGUUUGUUUUGGUUUAUGUUGUGGCACGACGCUGGUAGCGUCGUGGCGGACUCUAUAUAUAUGCUGUUUAUAUCUGCUUCUGCCUGUCUGUGAUAUUUCUUUUGGUCAGCUAUACCUCUCUAUAGAGGAAAUACUGCCAAAAUUUUCUUUUUUUCAAAUAAAUAAGCUUGGUUGUAAA